Zonotrichia leucophrys gambelii is the source of this 1939-nucleotide long non-coding RNA. RefSeq lists it as uncharacterized. NCBI's taxonomy places the organism in Eukaryota, Metazoa, Chordata, Aves, Passeriformes, Passerellidae. The transcript is spliced from 2 exons. The record is from RefSeq and is a predicted model, not a curated record.
AGCAGAGUUGUUUAUUGGGGUGUGGAAUCCCUGGAAUCCAUGGGUUAAUGGAUACUGCAGAAUUGGAGACUCCUGCUGGCCUGGUCCUGGCAGUGGGACAAUUGCUGCUUUCAAGGUGUCGUCUCCUGUGUAGGAUCAAAGUCCAGCCACCAGACACUUCUGGAACAUUCCAGGACUCCCGAGCCCCCCAAGGGUGGUCUCGGUGGCUCGGCAUCUCAGGACUCAGAUCCUGAGAUCCCACACCCUGCUGCUCGUCCCCUGUCACUCUGUGCCACCAGCUCGGCCUGGCUCCGCUCCAGCACUCGGCAAAGGUCAUCCCUGCCUCUUCCAAGGACACCUGACAGGAUCAGGGGCUCUCUGCUCCUCCGAGGGGUGGAUGGCGCACCCAGGGGAGGCUUUGCUGCAGUUCUGCACCCUCAGAGCUGGAAUGGAAGCUCAGGGUCCUUUUUGAGUAGAAUCCGCUUAUUUUCUGUGAAGAUUUUUUGGGUUUAGGACACGAACCACGUGGCUCCUGAGCAGCCUCAGGGACGCUGCUUCAUUCUGGGAAGGCUGAGUCACAGUUCCUAAAUAUGACAAGAUAAUAUUAACAAUAAGGGGGGCCAGAAGCAGGAGGGAAGGAGCUGGAAGUCUGAGAAGUUCUUUCUUAACCUUUUCAUCCUGCUAACACAACUCCUUGUCAGAUGAACCUGAAAUUAGAGGGCCUGAAAUCCAACCUUCAGUUAAAUGCUUGGCUGAAGUUAAACUUCUGCUGUAGAACUCCCCAGGGGCUGGAAAACUGAUUUUCCAAGGAGGUGGAAGAAGUGAACAAGGACCUCUGACCACCCUCUCCAGCCACUCCUUGCUCCUGUGAGCCCUCUGUGUGCCUGAGCCAGGCGUGAAGGUUUUGUCAGGCAGGAUCCUGGGUGCUGAACUUUGCACAAAACUCCUUCCUUUUGCUGCAUCAAAGGCCUCUGAGAACAGAAAACGAUGCUAAUCAUGUGUUUGUGCACUUAGAAAUAUCAACCCAUCGACUUGCAGAGGCAGAAGAUGGAGGAAAACCUGGAGGAGCAAAAUAUAAAAUUCUCUUCCAUCAUCAAAGUAGCAGCAUCAAGCCAUGACCUCUCUGUGUUCAGACACGCUGCAAGCCAGAAGCAGAAUUUAAAUGGGCCUGGCCUCCUUGCUGCUUAAAAAGGGAGAGAAAAACAAGUAAAAAAUUACUUUUACCAACUUUCCAAACCCAGCUCAAAGCUGCUCUGUAGAAAAAUGUAGGCAGGGGUUGAUUUUCACUGAUUUCUGCCUUUCUCCUCCACGUAUUUGUAUCAGUGUCCGGGUGUCCAACACCUGAAAACCACCUUGGAAGCCUCCUCAGUGCCACCCUCAGCCUCCUGAAACUACCCAAAUGCACCUUCUGCAAGGGAAUAUUUCAUUUUUUCUGGAGAUAAUCACAACUUCUCCAGGAAUUUCGUAGGAGCCAUGAGGACAUUUUUGUUUAAACUAGAUAUUCCUUCUAGAAGCAGCGAACUGGCGACACCUCGGAUUUCUUGUCUGACUCUUCAAGGACGUGGUGUGGCUUCUCUGCUGGGAGUUCCAAGUGUCACUUGUCUCCACACCUGUGCCUGAACAUGUCCCCUGACAUGGAAAUGAUGAGCCACAAACUGUCCCAUCAGUCUGUCUGAACGUUGAACAUCACAGGCUGCUCAGCCCAGGUCUUCACAGAGAGCAAAAUCCAAGGGCUUCAUGGUAUGGACAGACAUUUCCUGCUGGAUGUAUAAUUUAUUUUAGUCAGGUCAGGCUGUAGUCCUUAUAUAACAGCUCAGCCUAGAAAAGGGAAAUUUAUUUAAUGUUUUUUCAUCUUCUAUAAAGUUAAUGAAUGAAUUCAAGUAGGUUUUGUUUUGUAGAUAUUCAGCUGUGAUUAUGCAGCACAACUUUGAUGUUAAAUAAAUAUACUUAAUUAUUUGGA